This 2784-nucleotide long non-coding RNA is filed under the name Salmo salar (Atlantic salmon). RNAcentral's name for it is "lncRNA (ENSSSAG00000107805.1)". The record is from RNAcentral. Lineage: Eukaryota; Metazoa; Chordata; Actinopteri; Salmoniformes; Salmonidae.
UUUUUUUAAUUUUUUAUUCAUACAAACAUUACUAAGGUCGUUCAAAGUUGAAUUGCUGUUUAACGGAUGGCCCAUCUUUUCAACACACCACGCAAAUAUAUGCGGCACUUUGUUCAUAAUGCACUGUCCACUCAACCUUGAUGCUUUCUCAAGUUGAUGCGCAAGAGUCCAAACAGCCUCAGAUCACAUGCUCGGAUCAUGUUCGAGCCUCGGAUUGGACAGUGAAAGAAACACACACGUAUGGGGGGUGAUAAGGGCCAUAAUUAAGCCUCGUGAAGCUACUGAUACGUCUCACAGUCACCUAACGUAUUUUUAGCGCCAUGAAUUAACAUGGACUGUCAAUGGAGACAAGUUUCUUUCUAAGGCGUCUAGACGUGGCACGUGACGUGUUCACGUAGUGAAGUUUAUUAUGAACAAUCUUACAAUUAACUCCUUAACGUCUACAUGUGUUAUGCGUCACGUGUUAGUUUGUGUCUGUUUAGUUUAUUAUUAAAGAUCUCACCAUGAACACCAUACAAACGUCUACAUGUAAUCAAUUUCAUUUGUUGAAUUAGCUAAAAUAGGCCUAUCACCUCAAUACAAAAAUGAUUAAGCUAGUUGAUAUCUCAGCCAGCCACAAUUACUCUGUAGACAUGCUUAUUCUCACAUCAAUACAGACACAAGGGCUUCUUUGUUGGAGGUAUCCCUAUUCAGAAAUAAGAGGUCAUCUAGGUCUCUAGUGGCGCAUUCAAAACAACUUAGAAAGUCGGUAAUCCCUAUAUGUUACCAAUUGGGCUAAAUGUAUUCCUAUUAAUAAGCUUUUGUUUUCCUAUUCAUUUGCAUAGGCUAACCAUUGCAAAUGUUAUUUACCAUUUUUUUUAUUAAUAAACAGGUAUCAGGGUAAAAAAAUUAUAAUUUCAAUGCCCCUCUCCCCCCACGGUUACUUACCUUACAGAUAAAAGUCAGCUAAUUUUCACUCCAUAUGUAAAUACAUUUGAUUCAUACACUGGCUUGUCUGGCUGGCAUGUUUUCAUUUUGAACAGGCCUUUCCUUAUCUACACUGAAAUAAUAUUUCAGUAGUAGUCCUUUAUUAUGAUUUUUUAACACUCAUAGCUCAUUAGUACACCCUUGUGGUUGAAUAUAUAUCUAUUGCAUUUGAUACAACAAUUAAUAAUGUUUAACUAACAAAUACCAUCAAGGGAUACGUUACAAUUUACAAUACUGAACACCUUAUAAAACAGCUGUGAAAACCAAUCUGGCAAUAUUUUAGAUUUAAUACAUAAACGUUGAUAUUUUUGGGGGUACAAGUGUGUCAAUUUACUUUCUGAUUUUUUGUACACUCACAUGGCAAUCAGACUAAAAUACUGAAUUCUGUAGUGUAGAACAGAGAGGAGGCGGGUGCUGUGUGGAUGAGAGGUUCUGCCUGUCACUUGUUUUCAACAGGUAGUCUUGGAAGGUGGACCUGAAGAGGGAAACUGCAAAGUCCAGGCGCUGCUGCCCUCUUUGUUCUGAGUAUUUUCAGGGCUAGUGUUUUUAGCUAAUCUGUGCAGCUCACAUUAUGUACCCAGUAUGAUAGUUUUCUUGCUCUUUCUUAGCUUGUCAGAUGUUUUAUGUCAGUGGGGUUGAUAAGGGAGGUAAGGUAUGUUCCCUGGAAAAGAUGGAGAGAUGAAUGGUGAGAGAAACUCCAGGCUGGCGUUUUGACCACUGAAAUCAUGCACCUUAACACGACCUACCUGGAAGCGGCGGUUAUUUAACGUGACCCAGUGGGUUAGCCAUGAGAUUGACUAUUUGGAGAAACCCAUGGGCCAGUGUUGGUACUGCUGACAGCAUCACGAGGCGGCAAAUUAAAAUAGUUAUCAUCUGAGAUUUUUAUUCACCUUAACAGAUGGUGACCCCAGCUAGGAGCGAAAGAGCACCAAGCUUUCCCAGGUCUUGCCUUCCUUUCGUCCUUCUUCCAAGCCAAGUCAUUCGCCCGGAUGUCGAAGCACUUGGUCCACUUGAUUCUCCUCCGGUGAAUUGAUUCUCCUCCUUCUGUUUCUCCUGCGCCUUGUCCGUGUUCAGUCUCACCUUGAUUGAUAAUAUAAAUAACUGGUCAAAAACCUUCACAUCCUUCUCAGUCCGUGCCUGAAGGUGGUCCUUGAAGGCAUUCUGAUCUGGUUCGACAACUUCCACCACAUCAGGUGGAUUAUCAGUGAUCUCAAAGUACGUUCUCCGUAAACAGCUGCAGGGCCCAUUAGUACAGCAGGCGAUAGGGUGAGUACUCUAGAGGCCUGGACGCUGCUGUUGUAGGCAAAGAUCAUUAACUUCAGAUUGUCCUCCCACCAUUCCUGGUACCCGUCAAGGGACUUGCCCAUGGCAGUCACCUUGGUCCGAUCAUCCAAACUUGGAAUCACCAUACAUUUACACAUUCACAUUGUAUAUUUAGCCCAAACAACUACCUCUUCCCCUACUGUAUUUAUUUAUUCUGCUCCUUUGCAGCCCAUUAUUUCUAUUUCUACUUUGCACUUUCUUCCACUGCAAAUCUACCAUUCCAGUGUUUUACUUGCUAUAUUGUAUGUACUUCGCCACCAUGGCCUUUUUUUGCCUUUACCUCCCUUAUCUCACCUCAUUUGCUCACAUUGUAUAGAGUUAUUUUUCUACUGUAUUAUUGACUGUAUGUUUGUUUUACUCCAUGUGUAACUCUGUGUUGUUAUGUCGAACUGCUUUUCUUUAUCUUGGCCAGGUCGCAAUUGUAAAUGAGAACUUCUUCUCAACUUGCCUACCUGGUUAAAUAAAGGUGAAAUAAAUAAAAAUAAAGUAUAUAAC